UUUUUUUUUUUUUUUUUUUUGAGACAAAGUCUCACUAUGUAGUCCAGGACGGCCUCAAACUGAUGGUGAUCCUCCUGCCUCAGCCUCGAGUCCUGGGAUUACAGGAAUGCACCACUCCACCUGGCUUACUGUUAUAACUUUAAGCCUGGGCAUAGAAAGUAAUUCUCAACAUUACUUGUCAUCAGUGAAGUGCAAAUAAAGAUGACAAGAAGCCUGAAGAUAAUCACCUAACUAACCCAGUGAACAUUUUUACUGGUAAGACUAUGAAUAAAGAACUCACUCCGAC
This 286-nucleotide long non-coding RNA is filed under the name Fukomys damarensis (Damara mole-rat). RNAcentral's name for it is "lncRNA (ENSFDAG00000029642.1)". The record is from RNAcentral. Lineage: Eukaryota; Metazoa; Chordata; Mammalia; Rodentia; Bathyergidae.